This is a long non-coding RNA of Astyanax mexicanus (Mexican tetra), 9012 nucleotides long. RefSeq lists it as uncharacterized. Lineage: Eukaryota; Metazoa; Chordata; Actinopteri; Characiformes; Acestrorhamphidae. The record is from RefSeq and is a predicted model, not a curated record. The transcript has 2 exons.
GGGCGAGAGAGCGACGGGCAGCAUGAUGUGGAUGAUGGCCUUGUGAAUGGCGUCUCGUAGGCUAUGUUCAGACCGCCAGCCCAAAUCUGAUAUUUGGCCUAUUGUAUCCAGGUGAUAGUCUGAACAACCACUAACCGAAACAAAAUCUGUUUUUCAGCAUGUCUAGAUUGGAUCCAGAUUGAUUUUUAUUAGUCUGGACAGCCAGUAACUGCAAGAAAUCUGAGUUUUGGCAUGUCUCGAUUAGGUACAGAUAGAUUUUGAUAGCUUGGACAUCUAGUAACCACAAGAAAUCUGAUUUUUGGCAUGUCUAGAUUGGAUACAGAUUGAUUUUUUUAGUCUGAACAGUCACUAACCAUAUAAAAUCAAGAUAUGUCGAUUGCAACACAACAAAAACCAGAGCAAAUCUGAUCCAAUCACUCGCAAGUAACAUAGAGGACACCCAGUAACUGCAAGAAAUCAGAUUUUUGGCAUGUCUAGAUUGGGUACAGAUUGAUUUUUAAUAGUCUGGAUAGCCAGUAACCACAAGAAAUCAGAUUUUUAGGCAUGUCUAGAUCAGGUACAGAUUGGUUUUUAAUAGGAACUACAAGAAAUCAGAUUUCCGACUUAUCUAGAUUGGGUACAGAUUGAUCUUUGAUAGUCUGAACAGCCACUAACCACAUAAAAUCAGAUUGUUAGCAUGUCUAUAUUGGAUACAGAUAGUCUAUACAGCAGGUAACCACAAUGAGUCAUAUUUUUGGCAUGUCUGUAUUCGAUCCAGAUUGAUUUUUGAUAGUGUAGACAGCCAGAUCAAAUCUGAUUUCAACGAGUCUCGUGUGUCACUUUCAACAAAACAAACAACAACCUCAUCAAAUAACAGUAAGGACAGUCAUCUCAACAGAUCACAUUUGAGAAUUUGGAUCAGAUUUGGGUGCAGUCUGAACAGAACAUAGCCUCGCGGACGCUAAAGGUGGAUGCUCUUUGGUGAGUGAUGUUGCCCCUGUUCACUGGAGGGCCAGUAGAGGGCAGAGUGGAGUCAUUUUAGUUGCAGUUUGUUUUACUUGAAGAGCGAGGGUUUCAGCAUUCUUUGUGUCCGGACGGCCUCCCCUCGCCCCCUGUUCCCGCGCCCUGUCCGAAGCACUUCCCGUUUCAUGAAGGAGGGAACGGUAACCUGCACUAAUCGAUGCUGAAAUUAAAGCUUGGUGCUAAAAAGGUGGCUCGUUUAUGACCCACCGUCCAGAUAUAUUGGCAUUGACUUACGGACGUAUGAGCAGGAAUAUGGUUGGAAUGGUUAAAUGGUGCUGGCUACAUAUCUCUCUCUCUCUCUCUCUCUAUGUAUAAAUAUAUAUAAAUAUAUAUUUUUGUCGUGGUUGAUUAUUUGGCUCGGUUUGCUCAUGUAGGUGUCGCUGGUUUGGUUGUGCUGAAGACUGAAGGCUGCAGGUGGUUCAGCUGAGGCUCCUCUAAGUGCCUGAAGCACUAAACCUUCAUGUUUCCCUCCCUUCAGCGCCAGUAAAAUGCUAAAGUGGCUCAUACUGAGUCUAAGCCACUAGGGGCCAGUUAGCAUUAUGCAAAUUGAGAUCAUGCUACCCGGUCCCCACUGGUUUUUAUUCAUUGUUGGUGUGCAUUUGCAGCAUUCGCAGCGUUUUCAUUUUUGUACAUGUUGAAUUUCUUUCAGAAUCAGCGUAAACCUUUGAAUUAUGCAAUCCAUGCCACUUAUUUUUGCUAAUUAUAGAUUCUAAUCUAGAGAUAUACUAAGCGAUUAUAUUAACAUUCUCAUUUUACGCAAAGAUUAUCGCUACUAAAACCGAUGCAAUAGUCACGUCUCAUAGAGAUUAAGGUUUAAUCAGACUCUGUUUGUGGGCGGGAAUUAGUGCAUGUUGGCUUUUGGAGUGUUUUUCGAGAGUUCUAAAGAGCAUGUGCCUAGGGUUGAUUAAGUUUGUGACAGAGUAUAUAUAUAUAUAAAUAUCUAUAAAUAUAAUAUACCGUCUUUAUUGAUGAAUUUUCUCUUUCCAUAAUGGAACCACUAUUGGUGCUUCAGAGAUUGAAGAGCCGCCAGACAAGCCAGAUCUCUUCAUCAGAUGGUUUUAACGUGAUUGUAGCCUUUUAACAAAAUGUUUGGCUCGCCAAAGGUAUUACUGUCCAAGUCCCUGUUCACACCCGGUCACUUUGUGUGAUUUGAGAGUCAGGAUUGUAUCUAAAUAAGGCCAAACCACAAACAAAUACAAGUGUAGAUACAUCCAAGACUCAAUUGCAGCAUAUUUAGAACCAGUACAAAUCCAAUCAAUCAAACAAACCACUUCAGAAAGGGGUCUGAGAUGCAUUUAAAGCCAAGACAAAUGCAGAUCACUCAACAAACCACUUCAGAAGGUUGUCUGAGAUCAAUUUGAAACAUAUAAAUGAGAUCCCUCAAGAAAUCACUUCAGAAUGUGGUCUGAGACAUUUAAAGUUAAUAGAAAUGCAGAUCAUGCAAACAAACCCCUUCAGCAGGUGGUCUGAGAUCAAUUUGAAACAGACAAAUCAGAUCAAUUUGAAACAUACAUUUCUUAACAAAUCACUUCAGGAGGUGGUCUGAGACACAUUUGAAACCAAUACAAAUGUAGAUCACGCAAACAAACAUCUUCAGAAGGUGGUCUGAGACAACAUUUAAAACGAAUACAAAUCCCAAAACUCAAACCAGUUCAGAAGGUUGUUUGAGUCACAUUUAAAACCAAUAUAAAUCGAAUCACUAAAUCACUUCAGAAGUUCUGAGACGCACCUGAAAAAACAUUUUAGGAUGCAAUCCAAACACUAGUUACACAAAGUGACAAGGUGUAAACGGGGUUUAAGUGCAUUUUGUCCUGACGGAACUCCGAGGACAGAGGUUUUGUUUGGUUUGUGAUGCUGACAGGAAAGUAUGGUAGCAGAUCACGAGUGAGUAGCACAGUUAUUGUGUGUGUUUGUGUAUAUAUAUAUUUUGAAAAUAUGCCUUCGGAAGAAGAGAAGAUGCUUUGGUUGUAGCAUUUUUGUUUUACAUAUUUUUUUUCGUUUUGUUUUAUUUUUGGCUGGCGUUUUUUUUUUUUUUUUGUACCCUCCCUUCAGCGAUUGAACCCCAAACUUGCGUUUUGUUGGAGAAUCGUUGGAGGUAGAGAUGAAACUACAAGGAAGAUAACUAAAAAAAAUAAAACGAGACAUCGCCUAAAACUCUUAAAACUCUCAAAACUCGUACUCGACUUGUAUAUCUCCCCAUACGCUUUUAGAUGUUGAGUUUUCUUUAGUUGUUUAGUCUUUUAGCGUUUAUAAAAUAUUUAAACAUUAUUUUAACCUCAAUUUUUUUUUCUUUUUUUUUUGAAAGUGUGAAGUUGAAAGAGUGUUAGUUAAGAAUCUACAGCGGAGCUUAAAAGUCCUUAGAAAGUGCCUUUCCUCACGACGGUGCUGAAGAAUACGAGCCUAAAAGUGACAGAUCAAAGAUCAAACAGCCGAGGAGAAGUGUUGCGCUCACACACACAACUACACAAACACACAUAUACAGGGGUUGGACAAUGAAACUGAAACACCUGGUUUUAGACCACAAUAAUUUAUUGUGGUGACGGACAGUUCUGGUGGAAACAGGAGAGUUGAGGUGCACAUUGAAUUCUGCCGUGAUUUGAUCAGCCGUGGUUUUAUGUUUUUUGGAUACAAUCCGGGUUAGCACCCGACCAUCCCUUUCAGACAGCUUCCUCUUACAGCGUCCACAGUUAAUCCUGUUGGAUGUGGUUGGUCCUUCUUAAUGGUAUGCUGACAUUGCCCUGGAUACCGUGGCUCUUGAUGCAUCACAAAGACUUGCUGUCUUGGUCACAGAUGCGCCAGCAAGAUGUGCACCAACAAUUUGUGCUCUUUUGAACUCUGGUAUGUCACCUAUAAUGUUGUGUGCAUUGCAGUAUUUUGAGCAAAACUGUGCUCUUACCCUGCUAAUUGAACCUUCACACUCUGCCCUUACUGGUGCAAUGUGUAAUUAAUGAAGAUUGGCCACCAGGCUGCUCCAAUUUAGCCAUGAUGAAACAUCCCACACUAAAAUGACAGGAGUUUCAGUUUCAUUGUCCAACCCCUGUACAGUAUACAACCACACAAACAACAUACACACCUUCUUCAUACACAUUUCUAUCUGUUUAAGUACAGAGACUCUAAAUGACGAUGUGCAUCAGUGCACGCUCAGACAUUACAAUGACAAUAUAUGCCAAGUAUAUGGACGUACAGUUCGUGAGCUCUAUCUUCAGUGUGUUAUAGAGGAGUCAGGACCAAUAGACGUGCUGGCAGAGGUGAUUAGGGAUAUUUGAGCGAGGUGGAGGACAGUAGGGCCUAGCACAGCACUUUACAAAGACUGCCACCCAAACAGAAAGCUGCCGCCCAGACGGCCGGUUCGCUCUCUGCUUCGUUCUUUCUGUUUCCUCUGAACCCGCUCUUUCCGUCAUCUCCUCCAGAUCUGUACUGGUGAUAAGCAGAAGAUCACUUCGGGCCUCGUACGAGUGCGUGUGUGCAACCACUCUGUAUAUACGGCCGAUCAUUCAAGAACUGAAAGUUUACGCCUGGCACCCACUGUGGCAGGACUCGGGUGCUUUCCGACCUGACAGAAAGUCCCUUUGGGUAGUUACUCGUUCUCUAUUUAUUGUGCAAUGCCCUAGACUUUAUUAUACUUAUAUAGAUAGCAAAAAAUAUAUAUAGAUAUUUUUAUUACUGUUCACUUCUGACCUACACUACGUUCAGACAGCAGACAAAAGUGACCCAAAUCCAAUCAGACCCAAAUGAAACUAUAAAAUUACAUUUUCAGUUUCGAUUUGAGGAACAUUUUAGAUCAUCCACAGUGAAACUUCGAUAGAAAUCCAGUGCAUAUCUGAUACAGAGUUACAUAAUUCAGUCUGAACAGCCAAAUCUGAAUUCGCCCGGAGUUCUUGUGACUUUUUAUACGUUCAUACAGUUAGAGUCACUUACACUUGGACAAAUACAAAUCCAAUGCAUAUCUUAUACAAAGUUACAAAAUACAAAAUUUGCCUAGAGUGUAAAAAUCUAAAGUUACUUUCAGAUGAUCCACAUUGGAAAUCUGAUACAAAUCCAGUGCAAAUCCAAUACAAAUGUACAUGACUCCGUCUGAAUAGCCAAAUCCUUUUCACUUGUGACUUACAACACUUUCAUACAGCAGAUAAAAAGGGCCCAAAUCCAAUCCGACCCAAAUCAGCUUAAAUUUGAGCAAAAUUUUAGAUCAGCCACAUUGAUGAUACAGAUUUAAAAGUCUGAACAGCUUACAAUACCUACAAUACUUUUAUACAGCGGAUAAAAGUGACCCAAAUCCAAUCUGACCCAAAAACCCUAGCUAUCAGCCCCUGGAGCUCUUGGAUUUUUGGAUAUAAUUCACAUUUAAAAAAUUAGAAAGUGUGAACAACCUUAAAAAAAACACAGAGUUGGUUCACUUUUACCUGCUGUGUGAACAUAGCUUUAGAAACGCAGAGUUGAUUUAGUUUUUUCUACAGAUUUACAACCCAUACUCCUCCCUACCCUCCAGUUGUGGUGUGUGUUUCGUCACGUGGGUGCCCAUUGGUCAGUCAGUCAGUCAGCUGGUUGGUCGGUUGUUGAGUCGGUUGCUUGGUCGGUCCAGGAGGAAAAUACCUCUCUUCAAGAGAUCUCGAAAAACACUGCACCUCACUCACCUUGUUAUGCUGCAAAACGUUAUUCUAAAUGAGAUAAAACUGCAAAUAUUGCUUUGAUUACAGUAUAAUGCUAGAUUUAAUGCCUGACAACAUUUAAUCCUUAAAUAUUUUAGAUUAAAAAGAAUAAUAAUUGUAAGAAGACUUUUUUUUUGUGAGUGUGUCUUAACACGUUUUUUUUUUCUUUGUUGAGCCAACUUUUUAUUUUGUUGUCUUAUUUAAAUGUUUUUUUUUUCUUUUUAAUAUAUUAGAAAUAUAUAUGCGAAAUAUUUUAUGGUGUAUUUAUUGAGAGUGUGCUAAAGUGCGGCUGGAGUGUCCGCGGUGUAGGCAGCAUUAUUUGGGGGAAGGGGAGCUAAAGGAGGGUACAUAAUUACCCAUUAAUGUCCUGAACAUACAAACUAAAACUACCUUAAAAACUUUAUGUCCAGAUUCAGUCCUGAGUUUUCUUAGUUCUUAGUUUAGAUGGUUCUUUGGAGCACCACCAUUGAAGAAAACCAUUUUUGACCAAAUGUUUGUGGACUUUUAUCCUUCUAAUGAAUUAAAUAUUAAUCAAUAAAGUAUAUAUUUUCAGUAGAACAGCACUCUAUGGAGCAGGUUAACUAGAACCAGUUGGCACCAUGCCUACCUGAUGCCAGGCAUGAAUCGCAUCUAGGUUAGUUGAGAGAGAGUUACUCCCACAAAACCAUGAUAAACUCUUUUAAAUACUCUUGAUUUUGGAAGAAACAAUGGAUAUUCUGUGGUAUACUUGUAAAAAGAGUCAGUUGCUGGAAUGUUCUUCAGAUGGUUCCCAAUGGUGGUUACUAUGGUAUAACUCCAAUAACCAUUUGGCUCCAUAUGGCAAAGCCACAAAAUUUGACCCAAUCAAAGUGAACAUCCUCCUGGUUCAACUAAUUGGGUUCAACUCAACUUUAACCUGGUUUUGUUAUAGAACUGUUGAUACAGGAGAAAUGCUAAGCUAAGCUAUGCUAAAGAGGCUUCUGCACCACAACUGGACUGGAUUUUGGACUGCUUUGGUCUCUGGUUAUGCUCAGACACAUGAGUACAGUUGGCAUUGAUAGACGUUCAUGAGAAGUUCUGAAAUCUAUAGUACAUUUUUGGAGGUGGACACCUUUUGUAUCAGUGGUUACCAAGUCAAGCUCCUGGAUUCCUGCCUGUACACAAAAUACAUUACAGUUCCAACUAACGUUAUUCAUUUUGGGUUGAUAAAAGCGGAAAAUUCUGGAUGGGAUGUUUGAGAGCAGUAUAAUCAAUCUGAUCUGGAGUAGUAUAAUCAACCACUCCUCUAACUCUGAUUGGUCAAAAUUCUUGCAGUAACCAUUACGAUUGGUUAGAAGUCUUGUUUAAGAGACUUAAAGACCAAAAUAAUGAUAUUUUUAAAAAUUAGUUCUUUGAGUGUAUGCAUUGGUAUCGAACCGUUAAAAAAAAUUAAGUUAAAAAUUAAGUGGACUUUUAUGUCCAUUUUCUCUCAAAUGUAUGGCUUUUAUUGGAUUAUGUGAAACCUCAAUCUUUAAUCCAAUCAUAUGACCCAUCUGUGAUUGGUCAGAAUUCUCGCAGUAAACAUUAUGAUUGGUGAAAAAUCUCGUUUUAGAGCCUUAAAGGCCAAAAUAAUGAUAUUUUUAACAAUUUUGGGUCUUUAAGUGGCUCAGCUGACGCUAUGGCCCAAGAAUCACAACCCUGAAUCCCGAGUCCUGCUGCUUCGCCAUCAGCAGCCGGAGUCUGAGAGAGCACAGUUGGCCAUGCUGUUCUUAAUAUCAGUAUUACAAUAUCCAUCCAUCCAUGCACUACGUACAUUAGUUGGAACUGAACUGAACUUCAACAGGUUGUCCAGGAGUUUGUCGCUUGUUUGCUUGCUUGGUCUCCACCACUAAUGACGUUCGCCAUGUCGGCGAUAAAUCCCAGUCUUACCUUUCCCCCCCCUUAACUUCUCAAUGAGUCAAAAAAAAGAAAGCUCCUCUCGCCCCCACGUGCUGCGUCUCUUGGUUUUAGGGGACAGAGAACCACACUGACUUCACUUUAAUUUACAAUAUAAUAACGUAUAUAAUAAAGAAGCUGACGUGUUUCAAACCAGAGCUGCUAAACUCUCAGCCAUAGAAGUUCCCUCUGCUAUUUUUUGGGCGGGAAGUUCGUGGUCGCGUGCUCGAGUUCAGUCGUCUUUGUGCCAGAGCCUUUUUAAAGAGAAAAAAAAAAGAGAGAGGAGGAAGAAGAAGCAAAUCCAUGAGUCCCAUUCCACUCUUGACUACAUGAGCCUCAGCCUUAACUGUAUUCUUUGUAUGUUGUCGAGUUUUGAUUUUUCCUUUUUCCUUAUUAAUGCCUUAGUUGUAUAGAGACUUAUGUAUAUUAUACUAACCCCGCCCAUCGUCCCCGUGCCCCUGCCGGUUCAUCCCAGGGGGCGUCUCGUCUCUUUUAUAAAAGAAAACCACUAAGUGUGCUGCAAGAGCAAAUCCAGAUGUGUGAAUAUACAGUAUAUAUAUGAUAUAUUAGUCCCUGGUUAUGGCUCGUAGUGUCCAGCAAGAUUACGAUUACGAUAAAGACAAAGAUGAAGAGGGACUGAUUCAGUCUGAUUUACAAGACACCAUUUCGUCUGUAAAACGAAGAAGCAACAACAGCAGCAACAACAGCAGCAGCAACAACAAAACACAUCGUCAUGUCAUGUAUCGCAGGUCUAUUUGUCGGCCACUAUAGUAUAAUUUCGUGCGAGGGAGGACGGAGGCAUACAGCUCCCGUGGAGUUCAAGCAAGAAAGGAUUUGACGAGCUUUUUUCCGAAAUCCGAGGAUUGUUUACAAGUCAAGUUUACUGAAAAACUACUAAACGUCAGUCUCCAGCAUUCCAAACCAGGACUGUGAAAACGCUGUUGCGUCGAGGACGGUGCGAAAAGAUCUCCUCCCAAACGUCCCAACGUACGUCCUUUACGCUUCCGGAAAAAAAAAAAAAAAAAAAAAGCAGCAUCCGCCAGACUCCGAACGACUCCACGACUGUGUUCACUCAUCGUAAAACAAAGCGUUUCGUCCCUUAAAGGAAGAACCAAAGCACUCUCGCGCCGGCACUCUUUCAGCGAAGUGUCCUUCAAGCCUCGACGGACGACGCCGGAGGCCUUUGCGUCACGAGGACGUCCCUCGCGAAUGUUCAAACAAAUGUUCAGGAUCCUUUAUCCUUUACGGAGCUCCAUGCCUCUGUCUUCCCCUCUCUCUUCCUCUCUCUGUGUUGCAAAGAUUCUCCGAUGUACCAAGGGGUCUUUUUAUUUUACCUUUAAAUGUAUUUCUUAUGUAUGUUUUGUAACUCUCUCUCUCUCUCCCUGUAGAUUUAAUGGCCUUUUAGUGUUGCUUUGCCUCAGUUUGAAGUGUAUCUUUCACUAAUACUUGCAAUAAAAAGCUUUGCUUUUGA